Molecule: long non-coding RNA, 1066 nt
Filed under: Heterocephalus glaber (naked mole-rat)
Lineage: Eukaryota; Metazoa; Chordata; Mammalia; Rodentia; Bathyergidae
Description: lncRNA (ENSHGLG00000037225.1)
Source: RNAcentral
CACCUUUUACCUGUCCAUGACCAAAGUCUAGAACACAUUACACGCCAAGUGCUGGCGGGGCUGUGAAAGCCACCAAGCUCUCAGCACUGCCUUCUUUGGAAGAGUUUCUGACAAAACUAAACAUACCCUAUCCUUAUGAUCUAGUAGUUGAGCUUUAGUAUUUACCUAAAUGAGCUGAAACUCCUGUCCACACAAAAGCCUGCACACAUGUUUACGGCAGCUUUAUGAAUAAUCACAAAAACCUGAACACAAGGGAAGACAUCUUCAGUAGGUGGACAGACAACUGAUGCAUCCAGACAACAGACGAGUACUUGGUGCUAAAAAGAAAUGAGCUUUCAAGCCGUAAGACAGCAUGGAUCUCAGAUGUGAAUUAAGUGCUGGACCUUAACUGCCAGGGUGACGGUACCGGGGACAGGCCUCUGGGAGGUGAGCUCCUGCCUCUUGCAGGGGGCCAAGGCCCUGAUGGAGAGAGGCAUCCUGCAGCGCCCUUGCCUUGCAAGGUGAAGACACAGCUGACAGGCACCAGCAUCAUGACCUUGGACUUCAGCCUCCAGAACUGAGAAGAGCUCCUGUUCUGUGAUUAGUAGAAACAACUGCCCUUGGAGAAUCUAACUGGUUCAUCCCACGCCCAUGGCUGAGAGGGGUUGAAGACAUUUUGCAGAUGCCACCCUCCAGCUUAGCACAGGCCAGGUCAGUGUUUGAGUAGCUGCUGCCAGGCUCCUCUCAGAUCCCUCCUAUAGCGUCACGGUGCACAAUUCUGGCUGUGCCACAGCCGGGGACUGAGUGCUGAGCUCCCGUGGCUGUGUGGACAGGUGUUCUGUGCAGGCUACACUGGAGCCCUCCACCAGCCCUGCAGAUGGGAAUGGACACCCAGCCCGGCCGCACAAUGCCUGCCUACCGCAGCAAAAGCACAGGAAGCAUCCCUUGGAAUGCAGAAGAAAUUCUGCUCUUUCUGAGCCACCUCAGGCUACAAGGCUCCCCUGGUUUACGUGGAGGAAGUGCUGAGUGCAAGGCCUUGGAGGAAGCAUGUAUGGGUUCUGAAGAGUGGGUCUCCCAUGGCCUCUAC